GACGUAGGGCGCGAGCGUUGUCCGGAUUUAUUGAGCGUAAAGAGCUCGUAGGCGGCUCGUUGCGUCGGCUGUGAAAACCCGCAGCUCAACUGUGGGCUUGCAGCUGAUACGGGCGGGCUGGAGUUCGGUAGGGGAGACUGGAAUUCCUGGUGUAGCGGUGAAAUGCGCAGAUAUCAGGAGGAACACCGGUGGCGAAGGCGGGUCUCUGGGCCGAUACUGACGCUGAGGAGCGAAAGCGUGGGGAGCGAACAGG
RNAcentral lists this ribosomal RNA (253 nucleotides) under uncultured bacterium. RNAcentral's name for it is "partial 16S ribosomal RNA". It matches the Rfam family "Bacterial small subunit ribosomal RNA", at positions 524 to 776 of the family's 1533-position model. The record is from RNAcentral.